RNAcentral lists this microRNA precursor (155 nucleotides) under Populus trichocarpa (black cottonwood). RNAcentral describes it as "MIR2912 microRNA precursor family". It matches the Rfam family "MIR2912 microRNA precursor family". The record is from Rfam by way of RNAcentral. Lineage: Eukaryota; Viridiplantae; Streptophyta; Magnoliopsida; Malpighiales; Salicaceae.
UCUAGAACUCGAGAUAUGGGCUGAACACUGAAUAAUGUCUGGGCUGCAGGAUAGAUUCUGACUUCUCUUUUGAUGCUAAGAUUUGGAUUUCCAAACAGCAUAAUUGCGUCUUGAACUCCCCUGAAUGUUUUAGGCCUAUGUCUUAACUUUCUAGC